GACGAACGCUGGCGGCGUGCCUAAUACAUGCAAGUAGAACGCUGAAGGAAGGAGCUUGCUCUUUCUGGAUGAGUUGCGAACGGGUGAGUAACGCGUAGGUAACCUGCCUGGUAGCGGGGGAUAACUAUUGGAAACGAUAGCUAAUACCGCAUAAAAUUGAUUAUUGCAUGAUAGUCAAUUAAAAGGUGCAACUGCACCACUACCAGAUGGACCUGCGUUGUAUUAGCUAGUUGGUGGGGUAACGGCUCACCAAGGCGACGAUACAUAGCCGACCUGAGAGGGUGAUCGGCCACACUGGGACUGAGACACGGCCCAGACUCCUACGGGAGGCAGCAGUAGGGAAUCUUCGGCAAUGGACGGAAGUCUGACCGAGCAACGCCGCGUGAGUGAAGAAGGGUGUCGGAUCGUAAAGCUCUGUUGUAAGAGAAGAACGAGUGUGAGAGUGGAAAGUUCACACUGUGACGGUAUCUUACCAGAAAGGGACGGCUAACUACGUG
This 497-nucleotide ribosomal RNA is filed under the name uncultured bacterium. RNAcentral's name for it is "partial 16S ribosomal RNA". It matches the Rfam family "Bacterial small subunit ribosomal RNA", at positions 28 to 507 of the family's 1533-position model. The record is from RNAcentral.